CUGGCCUACGGGGGGCAGCAGUGGGGAAUAUUGGACAAUGGGGGGAACCCUGAUCCAGCGACGCCGCGUGAGUGAAGAAGUAUUUCGGUAUGUAAAGCUCUAUCAGCAGGGAAGAAAGAAAUGACGGUACCUGACUAAGAAGCCCCGGCUAACUACGUGCCAGCAGCCGCGGUAAUACGUAGGGGGCAAGCGUUAUCCGGAUUUACUGGGUGUAAAGGGAGCGUAGACGGCGAAGAAAGUCUGAAGUGAAAGCCCGCGGCUCAACCGCGGAAUGGCUUUGGAAACUUUUUUGCUGGAGUACCGGG
RNAcentral lists this ribosomal RNA (305 nucleotides) under uncultured bacterium. RNAcentral describes it as "partial 16S ribosomal RNA". It matches the Rfam family "Bacterial small subunit ribosomal RNA", at positions 332 to 653 of the family's 1533-position model. The record is from RNAcentral.